RNAcentral lists this signal recognition particle RNA (309 nucleotides) under Meriones unguiculatus (Mongolian gerbil). RNAcentral's name for it is "Metazoan signal recognition particle RNA (ENSMUGG00000024936.1)". It matches the Rfam family "Metazoan signal recognition particle RNA". From Rfam's summary of the family: The signal recognition particle (SRP) is a universally conserved ribonucleoprotein. It is involved in the co-translational targeting of proteins to membranes. The eukaryotic SRP consists of a 300-nucleotide 7S RNA and six proteins: SRPs 72, 68, 54, 19, 14, and 9. Lineage: Eukaryota; Metazoa; Chordata; Mammalia; Rodentia; Muridae. The record is from RNAcentral.
UCUGGGCUGUCCAAGCCUGUAGUCCCAGCUACUUGGGAGGCUGAGACAGGAGGAUUGCUUGAGUCUAGGAGUUCUGAUCUAUAGUGGCUAUGCCGAUAGGGUGUCCGCACUAAGUUCAGCAUCAAUAUGGUGACCUCCAGGGAGCGAGGGACCACCAAGUUCCCUAAGAAGGGGUGAACUGGCCCAGGUCAGAAACGAGCAGGUCAAAAAAUGAGCAGGUCAAAACUCCCGUGUUGAUCAGUAAGACGUUUUUAAAAACGAGAAUUUCUCUGGUAUUUAUUGAUAAGCUAGCAAAAUCACCUUGAUUCU